RNAcentral lists this ribosomal RNA (539 nucleotides) under uncultured bacterium. RNAcentral's name for it is "partial 16S ribosomal RNA". It matches the Rfam family "Bacterial small subunit ribosomal RNA", at positions 28 to 523 of the family's 1533-position model. The record is from RNAcentral.
GAUGAACGCUGGCGGUGUGCCUAAUACAUGCAAGUCGUACGCAUUCUCGUUUCUGAUUGACGGUGCUUGCACCUAAUUGACGAGACAUUGGAAUGAGUGGCGGACGGGUGAGUAACACGUGGGUAACCUGCCCAGAAGUGGGGGAUAACAUUUGGAAACAGAUGCUAAUACCGCAUAAAAGUCAAAACCACAUGGUUUUGAUUUAAAAGAUGGCCUUUGUGCUAUCACUUCUGGAUGGACCCGCGGCGUAUUAGCUAGUUGGUAAGGUAACGGCUUACAAAGGCAAUGAUACGUAGCCGAACUGAGAGGUUGAUCGGCCCAAUGGGACUGAGACACGGCACAUACUCCUACGGGAGGCAGCAGUAGGGAAUCUUCCACAAUGGGCGCAAGCCUGAUGGAGCAACACCGCGUGAGUGAAGAAGGGUUUCGGCUCGUAAAACUCUGUUGUUAAAGAAGAACGUAUCUAAGAGUAACUGCUUAGGUAGUGACGGUAUUUAACCGGAAAGCCACGGCUAACUACGUGCCAGCCGCCGCAGUAA